RNAcentral lists this long non-coding RNA (1756 nucleotides) under Homo sapiens (human). RNAcentral's name for it is "HSALNT0051183". Lineage: Eukaryota; Metazoa; Chordata; Mammalia; Primates; Hominidae. The record is from RNAcentral.
GGUUCAUAAAACAAGUACAUGCCACGUCUAGCCAUGCAGGGGAUGGAGGUGCAGGCCUGCCCAGCCUGGAAGAAGCCUGGUCUAGGGUUAUCUGAGCUUGAAUCACACACUUACACAGCCCCUGGAAUCAUAGCCUAGGUGGGCAGGGCACUGUGACUGUUCCAGCCUGGGACUGGGGAGAGGGAGCUCUUCAAGGAAGCAAGAAGGAUGUCACCUGGCCCCAGGCAACCAUGUAGGGCAGCUGCCAAGACUCAGCCAGCCUGGAGCGGCCACACCCAGCCUCUGGGCACUGCGGCCAGAGGAACCCGAAAAACCCAAAGGGACAAGAACUCCAGGGAAGAAACACACUCCGGCCCCGCAAAAAGCAUGGGAGCAGCUGGACCUGAAGACAUCUCUUCUGCCCGCAAGAGAGGCUUCAGAUGUGCAGCCCUGGAUGUGUUCACACCCUCUGGAGGCAGCCAUGGGUGGGCAGAAGCGCCGGGUGAGUAAGGACCAAUCAUCCACAUCCCCUGGUGUGGCUGAGACCUUCCUAAACUCCUGUACCACACUUUCCAGCCCGGUUUUACAGAGCAGGCUACUGGGGCUUGGAUGGGUCAAGGGACCUACUUAAGUUCACAGAGCCAGCUGGGAAACCUGCAUGUACCAAACACCUACCACACACCAGGCUGCAUUCCAUUCUCAGGAGUUCCCAUCCCCAGGACACAGGAGAGAAAACGCAGAGGCCGGGCACAUCGCAGUCAGGCGGGCCCACCCCCGAAGCAUCUGCCCUCCCCACAUCACUCUCUAGGCCCUGCCACCACCGCUGAGGGGCCGUGGGACUGCCUUUCCCAUCCGGGUCUCUGUCUCAUCUGGACAACAAGGGUGCUGAGGCCUGCCUCUCCCGGGGUUGCUGGUACUCAUCAUCCUCUGUGCCCCACUCCAGCUCCACCUUCCGCCUGAUGGCCUCUGGGAGAGAGACAUGGAUGGCCUCAAUUUAUAGAGAAGGGAAACUGAGGCUCAGGACAAGACUGUGGACACCAGGCAAGACUGGAAACUGGUCUGUCAGAUUCAGCACUGCUCAGCCUCAUUCCACCCAAAACUAAGGUGAAAAGAGCACCAAGAGCUGCAAAAAGGGGGACUCAAAGGAGAGAAGGGGCACUGAAGCUGAGACACUGCCCUGGGGGUGUGGAGAUCUGUGUCGGCAAUGUCAGAUUUCACUGCCUCCUCUGGGUCUUGCCUACACACAUGGACACCCUGCCCUGCCCUUAAGCCCAGGCUCAGCACAUGUGAGGUUCUGUUCAGAAAUUGGUUCCUUGGGCCAUACUAGCUGCUGACUUAUCCACACCAGACUCAUCGUGACUGGUGCAAAAAUGUCCCCUACCUGCAAAGGUGGCAGCCCUGUUUUUAAAUCUCAUCUGAGAGUCUCUGCCUUUUGAUUGAUGAGUUUAAUGCAUUUUCAUUUUAACGAUUAUACAUGAAUUUCUUUCUUUCUUUCGAGAUGGAGUUUCGCUCUUGUUGCCCAAGCUGGAGUGCAAUGGCGCGAUCUCGGCUUACCGAAACCUCCGCCUCCCAGGUUCAAGCAAUUCUCCUGUCUCAGCCUCCCGAGUAGCUGGGAUUACAGGCAUGCGCCACCACAUCCAGCUAAUUUUGUAUUUUUAGUAGAGAUGGGGUUUCUCCAUGUUGGUCAGGCUGGUCUCAAACUCCCGACCUCAGGUGAUCCGCCCACUUCAGCCUCCCAAAGUGCUGGGAUUACAGGCGUGAGCCACCGCGCCCAGCC